GAUAACAGGCUUAUCGCCACCAAGAGUUCAUAUCGACGUGGCGGUUUGGCACCUCGAUGUCGACUCAUCGCAUCCUGGGGCUGGAGAAGGUCCCAAGGGUUAGGCUGUUCGCCUAUUAAAGCGGUACGCGAGUUGGGUUCAAAACGUCGUGAGACAGUUUGGUUCCUAUCUGUUGUGGGCGUAGAAUACUUGAGGAGAGCUGCUUCUAGUACGAGAGGACCGAAGUGGACAAACCAAUGGUGAUCCGGUUGUUCUGCCAAGAGCAUAGCCGGUUAGCUAUGUUUGGAAAGGAUAAGCGUUGAAAGCAUCUAAACGCCAAGCCUCCUCCAAGAUAAGGUAUCCCAAUGAGACCCCCUGAAGACUACAGGGUUGAUAGGUUGGGUGUGUAAGCGCAGUAAUGCGUUGAGCUAACCAAUACUAAUAGGUCCAAAGGCUUGGUCACUUUUUU
RNAcentral lists this ribosomal RNA (448 nucleotides) under Chlamydiota bacterium. RNAcentral describes it as "Chlamydiae bacterium (freshwater metagenome) partial 23S ribosomal RNA". It matches the Rfam family "Bacterial large subunit ribosomal RNA", at positions 2473 to 2925 of the family's 2925-position model. Lineage: Bacteria; Pseudomonadati; Chlamydiota. The record is from RNAcentral.